AGUAUUUUGUUGUUGUUAAUUUAAGGUGGGUUUUUUUUUUUUUUUGCUUUUUGUCGUUUGAUGUAUUUGGUUUGUAGAGCAGGAACUGUAGACAGGAUCCUGCAGAGGUAGUAUGGAACUUGUCCUCCUAAAACCCGCCCGGCUUCCAAGGACUUUUAGCCCGUGGUCUUCCUUAGCAGCACAUGGUUCCCCUACGCUUGAGAGCCGGUGCGCUUACUUUUCUCUCCGCCUUUGCUGACAGGUCCUGCUGAAGCUGAGGACAAAGCCCUACCCCUACACGGACAAGACAGCAGACCUGGUUCAGGAAGCCAGCGUGCUCCAGGUUGCUCCAGGACUCUGAUAACAUCAGCAUCCCUGUCUCUCACAUUGAUGAUGUCGUGGAUAUGCUGGCUGUUCUGAUGGAGGGCAGUGAUGGCUUAGAUGAAGAAAUUGGGUUCUCUUUAAAUGAAGAUGUGCUUAUCCAAACAUUUCCCUUCAGUGCUGUUGUCCCUGCUGCAUUAGAAGCCAGGAAUAUGCUGUUGCUUCAGUCUGAAAACGGAACAGGUACAGGGUAUUUUUAUGUUUUAUGCGUCAUUUCUAGCAGUGGAGUGAAAGUGGCAUAAUUUCUACCCUCUUGUAAUAAUUUUUUACCAUUUAUCAUUUUUUACCUUGAGGCAUUUUAUUAUCUUCCCUGCAAGCAGGAGGUGCAGAUUCAUGGUGUUUUGUGCUCAAGAGGGGCAUUGAAGCUCUGUAGGUGCUUCUGCCCUUUUUCCCUGGCCCUAAAGAGAAGGGACGCUGUCCCUGUGUGGACAGUCUUGGUCUGGAAGUAGUUGGCUUCAGUAACGCUGUGUUUUAAGGGCAGAGCUUGUAAUUCAUCCUGUAAGAUUGAAAACUCUUUUCCAUGGACAGAGAUCACAGACAGUGUCUCUGGGGGCUCUGUCCAGGGGGGUUCCUGACCCCCUGCCAGUGUCCCAGACCUGCCAGGGCAGCCAGAGGGAAGCCCUGGAUUCCCACACUCUGCUAGUCUUGUUCUCAAACAUCUACUAAGAUGAGCCAGCCACGUGGCAGGCAGCCAGAAGGGCAGCUCCCAGUGCUGCAAACCUUAUAAAAAUUUUAAAGUGGUUGUUUUUCACACUACUGCACAGGUCCACAAGCAUGCUGCUGCUCCACUGGGCUGGCAGUGUCCUGCAGUCCCCAGCACAUGACACUCCUGGGCUGCAGGUCAGCUCUGAACACUGAGGGCAUGACAAAACCCCAUUAUUGAUCCUAAGCAAUUCAGACAUACUUCCUGGCUGCCAGGGCACUUUCUAGCAGGAGUAAUGUUACCUUCAUCAAUAAUUUCACUCAGUGGCUCUUCCCUCAUAAGAAACCAAUACAUUAUGUUGAAAAAUUACAGAGUAAUCUUAUUUUUAAUGCAGAAAGAAAUCAGCAGUGAUUAUAAAUAGGAAAAAACCACAUUAAAGUACCAAUAACUCUCAGAAAUUCUCAUGAAACAAUAGCAUCUAAGUAACAUGGAGAGGAAGAGGGUCAGAGAAUAUGCCACAGAUGAGAAAGCAAUCAGGAAAUAGUGCAGACAAACCUUUUAAAAAUUAACUUCCAUGUUGUCCAUAUGCUGCAUUAUUUAACAUAGUAUGGUUACAGUACACUUUCAUUUAUCCAAGUUGUCAUCUUAGAACCAACUUCCUAUGGCUCUGGAGAUGUCUGGGACACAGGAACAUUGAGGAAAACAUCCAGUUAAAGCUGCUGUUUGAGGACUGAGACAUGAGAGUUGGGUGUUUUCGAGGUAAGUAGUCAUCAGGGCUUUAAUAAAAAAAAAAGCAGAGGACUCCACUAUGUUAUCUUCAAACAGGCUUCAAACCUGCUGUAAGUAUUGUAGCCUCUGGUCUGUUCUUUCCUUACAUCUUUAACAAGACCUUUUGUUUUCAUUUUUCA
Taeniopygia guttata (zebra finch) is the source of this 1911-nucleotide non-coding RNA. NCBI's taxonomy places the organism in Eukaryota, Metazoa, Chordata, Aves, Passeriformes, Estrildidae. The record is from RefSeq and is a predicted model, not a curated record.